Passer domesticus (house sparrow) is the source of this 373-nucleotide long non-coding RNA. RefSeq lists it as uncharacterized. Lineage: Eukaryota; Metazoa; Chordata; Aves; Passeriformes; Passeridae. The record is from RefSeq and is a predicted model, not a curated record. The transcript has 4 exons.
AGCAUGGCCCUUGCUCUGCGCCUCUUCCUCCUGCUCCUCCUGGCCGUGGCCCUGUCUACCAGGGCUGCCCAGGCUGCUCCUCUCCAAGUGUGGCGAGCAGAUGAGCAUACUAGGAAGGCUUCUUCAGCAGCUUGGCUUAAUGAAGAUUUCCAGUCUCUUAACCCUCCAGCAGGUGUGUCUGCAGGAAUGACUUUUCAGGCUCCUUUCCUGGUUGCUGCACAUAAGCCCCGCUCCCAUUGCAGGGGUCCUCCGAGAGGGAGGAACAAACCUAGAGGAGACAGCAAGUCCCUGGAGGCAUCCAAACAGAUGGACAGGAUCUGGAGUGACCUGGAGAGACAACGUGGUGGGUGCAUUUCCCUCAUGCUUCCCCUGG